RNAcentral lists this small RNA (1168 nucleotides) under Oryza sativa Japonica Group (Japanese rice). RNAcentral's name for it is "sRNA Os07g0562950". The record is from RNAcentral. Lineage: Eukaryota; Viridiplantae; Streptophyta; Magnoliopsida; Poales; Poaceae.
AUCAUCAUCUAGGGGAGAAAAUGGUGGCCAAGCCCUGAUCCACCGUCAGUUGGAUGGGAGGGCCAUAGGCCAUCAGGUGCUCUAUCUCGUCGCCAGUGUGUGAUCCAUCCCCUCUCGCGAUCACCUCGCCAUCGGAGUCGAUGAUGCCGCCCUUGGUGGUGCUGCCCACCCGCAUUCCCGGCUCAAUCCUGAGAGCCUUCACCUUACCUUGAAGUACUCCACAUAGGGGGAUUUGACAUAGCUGCCAUCCUUCAUCUGAAACAUCAGCCCAGCAAGAGCCGACCUAGGGCAGUCCUUGAUUAUGGCUACAUCCAAAGUGAGAUUAACCUUUGCUUCUGGUGCUGUCAUGACAUUUUCACUAGCAAAAGGAACACCACUGACCCAAACCGAAACAAAUGGGCCAUCCAGUGAUCUCCACUCAUGAUCAGUUUCAUCAAUUGAAGGGCCUGCGUAAGCACAUGUUUCGUCAUUAAAAUCAUUUGAUCUGUCCUCUUGUACACCAGUGCUAGCCCCAUUUGAUUUGCAACUGCUAAUUUGCUCUACAAGAUCACCAAGUCCUUCGUAUCCUGGGGCUGGAACAAAAAGAACACGCCCAUUGUACCGCCGCAAGCUCACCACACGGAGAAGGGACUGAAAUAAAUCAAGACGAGCACUGCCCAUCCACCUGUACUUCUCUGACUCAAUAUCGAUAUCAGCUACCAGACCUGCAUAAGCAUCAAGACACUAAAAAACCUUGUCUUUCCCUGCACAACAGAGGUAACAUCAAGGGGACGCUUACUUGCCUCUGAUAAUUGCAAGCACAGCGUUAUAAACGGAGAAGGAUUCACCAGCAAAAUGCACAAGUGAUUGCACCAUUCCAUUUCCGGUACCUGCCGGGAUGAUGCCUAAUGGUAUUUUUAUUGCUGUGUUCCAGUCCUCUCUUUGCAGCAGACCAUUAACAACCUCUACAAGUACACCAUCUCCACUGACGCAAACAAUUCCAUCAUAUUUCCUAAGAUCCAGUGAAUGAGCAAUUUCUUGAGCGUGAAGCCGAUGCUUGGUUUCUUGCAUGGUGUAAAGGAUGCCAGCAGCUUCAAUGAGAGGUAGGACCUCAGUCUGGAAAAUCUUCCGCCCACCUCUCUUUCCACCAUAAGGGUUAACUAUGAUGAACAAUCUCUUUGGCCGACCU